This 970-nucleotide unclassified non-coding RNA is filed under the name Hevea brasiliensis (rubber tree). The record is from RNAcentral. Lineage: Eukaryota; Viridiplantae; Streptophyta; Magnoliopsida; Malpighiales; Euphorbiaceae.
GUGAGUUGCAGGUGUAAAAAAUAUAAAAAAGCUAGUAGCGUCCAAUUUGGUGACCGAAGUGGAAACUGGAGAGAGCAAAAGACGCAUAAAGGAGUUGUACCUUUGGUGAGUUGCAGGUGUACCGUAAUCAUCACUUCCAUUGAAAGAAACGAGUUUUGAGAGCAGCAAUGGUAUGGUAACCAUGAGGAGCGACAGAGAGGAAGAUCGAAAUGCGACUGUUGAUUCAAGAUUCAAUCAAACUCUCAGAAAUGUUCAAGGGUUAUUAAAGGGACGCAGUUUCCCUGGCAAAGUACUGAUUACGCGGAGGUCAGACCCACUGGAUAACUCAACCAUGAGAUCUCCAGAUAAUCAUGGAAGUCUGCGAGAUAGUGAGACGGGACCAAGCCAACUGGCAGAUGGAUCUUUUGAGGAUGAACUGCAAAGUAGAAGCAAUCUGAAUGUUAGCUCAUCUGCUAGCCAGACGAAAUCAUCAAUUUCAAAUUCAGAACACACAUCCAGCGAAGUACAGAAGUCAUCAAUUGGCUCUAGAGCUACUGAUUCGGCUAGGCUAAUGAAGUUCACAAAAGAAUUGUCUGCGACAACUGUUAUUCUAGAAAAAUUGCGUGAGUUAUCUUGGAAUGGUAUUCCAUCAUAUUUGCGUCCCAACAUAUGGCGGCUUCUUUUGGGAUAUGCACCGCCUAAUUCAGAUAGAAGGGAGGGAGUUCUGAGAAGAAAGCGUCUAGAUUAUCUUGAUUGUGUUGCUCAGUACUAUGACAUUCAAGAUAUUGAGCGAACAGAUGAAGAGAUCAACAUGCUUCGGCAGAUUGCUGUUGAUUGCCCUAGAACGGUGCCUGAUGUUUCUUUUUUCCAACAAGCACAAGUUCAGAAAUCCCUGGAGCGCAUACUUUACAUAUGGGCCAUCCGGCACCCUGCAAGUGGAUAUGUGCAGGGAAUAAAUGAUCUUGCAACACCGUUCUUAGUUGUUUUCUUG